UUACGGCUACAUCACCUUGAAACACAGGUUCCCAUAAAAUCAUUGAAGUUAAGCAAUGUUGAGCUUGGUCAGUACCUAGAUGGGUGGAUGUUUGGGAAUACCAGGUGGUGUAAG
Acanthosepion pharaonis is the source of this 114-nucleotide non-coding RNA. Lineage: Eukaryota; Metazoa; Mollusca; Cephalopoda; Sepiida; Sepiidae. The record is from the annotation of a GenBank genome assembly.